UAAGGAAUAUUGGUCAAUGGAGGCAACUCUGAACCAGCCAUGCCGCGUGCAGGAAGACAGCCCUCUGGGUCGUAAACUGCUUUUAUUCGGGAAUAAACCUUUCUACGUGUAGAGAGCUGAAUGUACCGAAGGAAUAAGGAUCGGCUAACUCCGUGCCAGCAGCCGCGGUAAUACGGAGGAUCCAAGCGUUAUCCGGAUUUAUUGGGUUUAAAGGGUGCGUAGGCGGCUUAUUAAGUCAGGGGUGAAAGACGGUGGCUCAACCAUCGCAGUGCCUUUGAUACUGAUGAGCUUGAAUGAACUAGAGGUAGGCGGAAUGUGACAAGUAGCGGUGAAAUGCAUAGAUAUGUCACAGAACACCGAUUGCGAAGGCAGCUUACUAUGGUUUUAUUGACGCUGAGGCACGAAAGCGUGGGGAUCAAACA
Molecule: ribosomal RNA, 422 nt
Filed under: uncultured Pedobacter sp.
Lineage: Bacteria; Pseudomonadati; Bacteroidota; Sphingobacteriia; Sphingobacteriales; Sphingobacteriaceae
Description: bacterial SSU rRNA
Rfam family: Bacterial small subunit ribosomal RNA
Source: RNAcentral